This 1771-nucleotide long non-coding RNA is filed under the name Homo sapiens (human). RNAcentral's name for it is "HSALNT0352292". The record is from RNAcentral. Lineage: Eukaryota; Metazoa; Chordata; Mammalia; Primates; Hominidae.
GCCUUAGAAUUUUACCAUCAAUGAAAGAGAGGGUCACUACAGGUCCUAAGAAGAGAAGUGACACGCUCUUUUAUGUAAAAAGGAUGACUGUGGAUAUUGUGUUGGUAACUGACUGUAAGAGGACACUUUUAGGAAAAGUCCCCUCUUUAGAUAUUGACUUUAUCCAAGAGGAAAACAGUAGUAAUUCACACCUCAGUAGACAUGGUGAGAAGUAGUUGAUUCUACAUAUUAUAAAGUCUUUGGGUUUAAGCAACCAGAGGAAGGACUUGCCAUCAAAUGAAAUGGAUAAGCAUAAACAGGUUUGGUAGUAGCUGGGAGAUGGAAAUCAACAAUUUCUCUUGAGUCAUACUUUCUUUGAGAUUUCCAUUAGGUAUCUGAAGUAAUCAGAAACUAGCCAGGAAAACUGAAAUCAUUGAGAAUUUAAAACAAAGGGAAUUGAUACAGGUAAUUGAUGGUAGAAAUAACUUUAAAAAAAUUAAAGCCAACCAGGGGACAGUGAGGCAACCUACAAUUUAGCAACAAUGGGAGGCUACUAUCACCUUCCCUUGGAGAACAGGGAUAGGAGGCUGUACUACUGGAGCUGCAGGGAGGGAUAUUUGGGGGAAGCUGGAACCACAGUGGGCCUAUGUAAAGGAGCAGGAGCCUGUAAAAAAUGUAACUGUUAUUAGGGAUGACAGGGAGAAAAUGAGACAAUAUCUAGAUUUCUCCUUGUUCCUGCCUUUCAUCUUUCUACAUGUGUCUCCUAUUGUUUGAGCCUAACUGGAAGCCAGCUUUCAGAAAAUCUGAGCUACAUAAUCCACAGUGUUCAUCCCCUCUGUCUUAUGAACUGAACUGGGCAGAGUGAGGAAUGGGUUUCAGGAAAAAUAGACCCAUUAUCAUCACGACAUUCAGGUGGAAGUGUAAAAAAUGCAAUUGGAUUUAUGCGUGUGGAAUUUGGGAUAGAGAUAUGGCAUGGAAAUAUAAAUUUGGGAGUCAUUAGCAUUUACACUGCAUGUAAAACCACGAGAUUGGAUGAGAUAACCAAGGAAAGAAGUACAGAGAAAGAUGAUGGUGGGGGGAAAUAAAAUACUGAGGCCUGGAGCAUUCCAACAUAGAAUUAUCUGGCUCAGUUUGUCCAUAGUACCAGAGAAAAGACCCUGCUCUAUUAAUAUGCAGGAUGAGUAGUGUGUAAUUUUAGAUACUGGCGUUAAGUAUAUGUAGUAGUGGGAGUCUGCAUACAUUUCCUCUUGAUUGUUAUUUAUCUAUCUAUGUAUUUAUUUUUUGACACAGGAAACAAGGUCAUCAGCUGGCAUUGAGAUUGAAGAAAAGUAUGUGAGGGGUGUGAAAUGAGGAAAGAAUCCAUAAGUUAAUCUUACAUAAGAGGAAGAAGGCAAUGGCUAACAAAAGAAAAAUGGGCUUGUUUGGCCGCCUUAAAGGCACAUUUGCUUUUCAAGGUUGUGGUUUUAAAGAGAUAACAAUCAACACAAUUUUGUUGUGUGUUUUUCUCCCACUGCAGUUUGGGCAUAAAAGCAAUUCCAAAAUUGAUGGAGACAUGCAUGAAACUAAGGCUAUCGUUUUGCUAAGUCAGUCAUGUUUAGUAGAUAGAAAUUUAUUUGAUGACCAAGGAUGGCACAAAAUGUUUAAAAGACUGAAUAUGUGACAUAAUAAAGCACAUUUAUGAAACAGUAAAUUGCUUUUCAUAAAGGUGGAUUAUUUGAUGUAUCUUGAAGAAGAAAUAACAACUGUGAAUCAAAUAUUUAUUUAUGAAAUUGGCAGAGAGUAAAUGAUUAAA